RNAcentral lists this ribosomal RNA (756 nucleotides) under uncultured archaeon. Its description in RNAcentral is "bacterial SSU rRNA". It matches the Rfam family "Archaeal small subunit ribosomal RNA", at positions 113 to 879 of the family's 1478-position model. The record is from RNAcentral.
CCUGGUCGGUAUACCUCGGGAACUGAGGCUAAUGACGGAUAAAAGAUUUUUUCUGGAAUGAUUAAUCUUUGAGAGCUUGCGAUAGGAUGGGGCUGCGGCUGAUUAGGUAGUUGGCGGGGUAACUGCCCACCAAGCCUGUGAUCAGUAAGGGCUCUUAGCGGAGAAGCCCUGAGAGGGAGUCUGAGACACUACUCCCAGCCCUACGGGGUGCAGCAGUUAGGAAACUUUUGCAAUGCGCGAAAGCGUGACAAAGCAAGCCAGAGUGAUUUUCUAUAAUUGAAAAUCUUUUGUGAGAUGCAAAAAGUCUCACGAAUAAGGACUGGGCAAGACUGGUGCCAGCCGCCGCGGUAAUCCCAGCAGUCCGAGUCGCAGCCACAUUUGUUGGGUCUAAAACAUCCGUAGCUUGCCUUGUAAGUCUCUUGUGAAAUCGGGCCUCUUAAGGGUCCGGCGAGCAAGAGAUACUGCUUGGCUAGAGACCGGGAGACGUAAGGAGUACUAUAGGAGUAGCGGUAAAAUGCGUUGAUCCUUAUAGGACUACCAAUAGCGAAGGCACCUUACGAUAACGGUUCUGACAGUGAGGGAUGAAGGCUAGGGGCGCAAAGUGGAUUAGAUACCCAUGUAGUCCUAGCAGUAAACACUGCACACUAAACAUUAGUGCCUCCUCGAGAGGCAUUAGUGCUGUAGGGAAGCCGGAGAGUGUGCUACCUGGGAAGUAUAGCCGCAAGGCCGAACUUGAAGGAAUUGGCGGGGGAGCAC